Podarcis lilfordi (Lilford's wall lizard) is the source of this 72-nucleotide non-coding RNA. NCBI's taxonomy places the organism in Eukaryota, Metazoa, Chordata, Lepidosauria, Squamata, Lacertidae. The record is from the annotation of a GenBank genome assembly.
GGGGCCAUGGCUUAGUGGUACCGCAUUUGCUUUGCUUGCAGAAGGUCACAGGUUUAAUCCCUGGCAUCUCCA